UUGAGCCGUAUGCUGUGAAAGUUGCACGUACGUUUCUUAGGGAGACGGCACUUGGUAACAGGUGUCGUCUACUCGAC
This 77-nucleotide non-coding RNA is filed under the name Photobacterium lutimaris. Lineage: Bacteria; Pseudomonadati; Pseudomonadota; Gammaproteobacteria; Vibrionales; Vibrionaceae. The record is from RNAcentral.